Anguilla rostrata (American eel) is the source of this 638-nucleotide long non-coding RNA. RefSeq lists it as uncharacterized. The transcript has 3 exons. Lineage: Eukaryota; Metazoa; Chordata; Actinopteri; Anguilliformes; Anguillidae. The record is from RefSeq and is a predicted model, not a curated record.
UAACGAAGCAAAUGGCUGAAGACUUUCAAUCUCCUGUAUUAAAGAAAGUAGAAGUGUGAAAAAUGGAAGUUGCCGAAAUGCUGGCUAAAGGAUACGACUUUGGAGCAGAGGCAUGUGACAUUAAGUUCAGGCAAUUAAAACACAGAUACAAAACAAUAGUGGAUAAAAAGAAGAUGACUGGGAGUGGUGCCAGCAGCUGGGUCUUCUUCUUCUCAAUGGAGGACCUCCUGGCUGAUGAUCCCAGUGUGGAGCCGGUCCAGACUGUGUCAUCAUUUGCUGGAUCUUCAUCAGACCCAGUUGGCCCUGGACCAUCAACUUCACAACCAUCAACUUCACAACCUAAGCUAUCAGCAGAACGUGGCAAAAAGAGAAAGCACAAGUCCACAUCUGAAGCACCCCAGUGGUUUGAGCAGCAUGUCACUGAGCAGAUGUCGGAACUCAUGGUCCUGCAAAAACAAGCAAUGGAAGUGGCGAGUGAAAGGAAUGGCAUCUUAAAAUAAUUUGUUACUGCUUUAACAAAGAAAAAAUAGGAACUUAUUACCACGUUUUGCUGACGGCUUAGGUUCUAUUUUGUUUGUUUAAUGGCAUGAUGUAUGGCAUGAUGUAGUCUGUGCUGCAAGGAAAUAAAUGCAAUCUUG